RNAcentral lists this unclassified non-coding RNA (6344 nucleotides) under Centruroides sculpturatus (bark scorpion). Its description in RNAcentral is "uncharacterized LOC111622542, transcript variant X1". The record is from RNAcentral. Lineage: Eukaryota; Metazoa; Arthropoda; Arachnida; Scorpiones; Buthidae.
UCGAUAUUGUUAACACGGGUUUUGGUGUUUGUCGUGUGCGUGUGUGUAUGUGUGUGUGUGUGGAAAUUAAACGAAAUGUAUCAUUUGAUUUGGAUGUAUAUAAUCUAUUCUUCAACUGUGACGAUAUUCUUUAAUUAAGAUCUAGAAGAGAGUAUUUAGAAACAGAUGGGAAACGAACAGAGUCAGCAAGAGAGUGCCGAGGGAACGUCAAGUCGUAUAGGUAACGGUGCAGGUGGACCACAGUCAAACGCUAUGGUUUCACACAGGACAGGUACGGAGGAAGAAGACGUAGGUGUGGCAUCCCCACCUGAUGUUGAUUUGAGUAAUCUAUCGGAAGAAGAAAGAAAAAUGAUAUUGUCUGUUAUGGCACGCGCUCAAGAUUUGGAUAAAGACAUCACACAACGUAGAAGAUCAGCAGAACUGGUCAGAGCCGAAUCUCUUCCCAAUUCAGUAACUACUCAGAUAAUGUGUCCCUCUUGCCACGCGACAGAACUCACUAUUAGGACAUCAAUCAAAUGUUCAAAAUGCUGGAAGAGCUUUUGUGAAAAGUGUGGACAAUGCCCAAUUGUAGAAGGAAAGAAAUAUUCGUGGAUGUGCAAUUCGUGCAUACAACAAAUCCAGUGUAGUAAUAAAUCGAAAGUCAAAAGUCAAUCAACUCGAGAAGCUCAGGAGAAUGUCAGAAGAGCAGAUGCAUCCGGUGAAAUUAUGCCCGAAAAGCAUAAAAAAUCAGAAAAAUCAGAAGAAAUUGUUGGUAAAUGUCAUAUUCGAUCGCCAGCUAAAACGAGAAGAGAAAGCGUCGAGGUAGUCGUCACGGACGACACUCAACCGGAGACUAAACCAAGAGGAGUACAAAAGAGUAAAGAUGGAAUAGUUCGAGUAACCAGACCGGUUACUACAGCAAAUGGUGAUGCUGCCCCACCUCAUCGCACUCAGCGUAUCAGUAGACCGAUCCAAGUAGUGGCUAAAUCGGAAGCUGUGGUGCCUAGAAAAUUAAUAAACGUGGAAACAAAAGUUAAAAAACAACACGCCGAAGCGAAAUCUUCACCGGAAGUUUCCCCGAAAAGAAUCGCAAAAGUAAAAUCUCCCACAGAAAAUGUCUCGAAUAAAAAGGUUCACGUAAAAGCACCCUCUGUGGUAAAAGUGACUUCGAGUCACGAACCCGGAGUUGCUAAAAGUAAAGAGCCAAUUAAAGACGAAAGUAAAGAAAUUUCCGUAAUUGCUACUACUACUACUACUACUACAGUCGAUACAGUAAUUAGUUCGGUAAUUACUACUGUCUCUCAAACGUCUCCCAUCAUGGAUCGGCCCAUAAUAUCAGUGGAUGUCACCGUAGUGAGUAGAUCUUCGACGACUACCAACGUUAUUCUUACCACGUCUUCUAAGUCUGGUAUGACUAAUACAAUAGCUAAUAUCAGCACCGUAACUGUCACAUCAAAAUCGAAUGCUGCUAACAAUAUUCGAAGUUCAACUGUUUCAAUUUUGCCCCCGCAGCCAUUAGAAAGUAGUUGCAAGACUCAGUUACAAGAGAAAUCGACAAGCGUUCACGCUACUACAUUGCCAAGAAUUAAGAAAGCAGAAGGGAAUAAGGAAAAAGCAAUUUUGUCUCAGAACAAAACAUCGGAAGAAUGGAUAUCGAACAAAGAGGAAAAUCAAUCGUUUCCAAGUAAGGAAGCAGAAGAAUGUACGGAUGAAACAAACCAAAAUAAUUUACCUGAGAGUAGAAAACCCGAAGAACAAAUAGUGGGAACGGAACAAGGUCCUUUGAGAAUGAUGAAAACGGAAAAGUGGAAAACUGAGCAAGAAAAACCUAUAUACAGAAGUUCCGCUGAUGAAUGGAUUUCGAGUGCAGAGCAGGAUACUUUAUCUAGACGUAUAAUCUGCGAUGAGCGAAGAAGCAGUCUGGAUUCUAGCAUUAUAACUCGAGGCAAAAAGCGGGAAGAGCAGAUAACGGGCUUGGAAAAAACUACUAUCACAAAAACCGAAGAUUGGUCAAUAAAUUCUGAAAAUUUGUCCGGAAAUCACGUGUCCGAAGAACUAACCAAGGGCGUUGAACUAAGCGCGUUAUCUCGAUUGAAUAAAUCGAAAGAAUGGACGAGUGCCGACAUAAGUACGCUAUCAAAAGUAAAGGAUUCGGAACAGUUGGCAGAAAGUCCAAUUAAACUGAUCGAUAGUUCUUCGAGUGUCAUUAAAGCCGCAGAAAAUAGAAUGGAUUCCCACCGAAUAGAAUUGACGUCGUCUAGAGAUAGUACAAAUAACAACGGUCUUUCGUCUUCGGAUCAAUUAGGAACAAAUUAUCAAAUCAAACCUCUACAAGACAAUGCUAAUCAAGGACAGAACAAACAGAAACCGAGAACAAUCGAUUUACAACCACAGAAAAAAGUAAAACAGAAAGUAGAGACUGCCGACUGGUCGCCCGUGUCGGACUUAUCACCAAUUCUCGACGUGUCGCCCUCUCUAGAGGCGGCCGAACAAGAACUUAUAGAAAAGUUCCGACACAGAAGCGACUCAGAAGGUAACGCUAAUCAAACUUCGACGUCAUCCAAUAUACCACGUGCGACGAGUGGCACCAUUUCGGGAAUGCUGGCCGAUUUCAAUAAAGCGCUCGGUCUUCUCGACACGUCUCCCAUCGAAGACGUACAGAAGAAAGAAAAGUCACUUUCGGAAAGUCCCCCGGCCGUAAGUACCCCCGUGGCUCCCGUUACUACCGAGUCUGCCGUAUAUCACCCGGUACGUCAACAGAGAAAUCAGCAGCAACCGGGAACACCGAGACGCACCAGACGUCUUCCCCAGCCCACUAUGGAACAGAUGCAGGCAGCCGUUGCCAUGGCUGCGCACGGACCUCGAGAUAAACAAUCGAUAGCGAUGACGUCGGUGAGUACUGGCUCUACGUCACUUCCUGUCACUACCAGUCAGAGACCCGUUUCUCCCAUCAUGCCAUGGAGAACAAUAGAUAGCUACUUAAUGUCGGAUGCUGACGAAUAUGACGGGCGUACGGUUACUUUGCACGACAUUAGCAGUACGGUAACUACUUCGACUGCCGAAAGCGUACCAAUUACGACCGUCGCACCCUCUCAGUCGGCUGACAUCACCAUAACCGAAUCUUCGGAACUGUCACCGGAUAAAAGUGCAGUUUCCGAUCAAUCAGAAGUCUCUAACUCACUCACAACUUUAUCAUAUUCUUUGGCGCAGGAUACGGAAGAACAGUUAGAACUGGAUAGCAUAAAAUUGAGCAAACUGCGUAGAAAACUCCCAUCAGUGCCAAGUGCCGAUUACGGCAAGAUUCCAAGUGGCACUAAGCGAUCGAAAGACCGCACUAGGACACUUUCCACUGGUGCAACCCCUCUCUACACUCAAGAGUUGUUAUCUAAUGGAGAAACUCCAUUGGAGGAAGUUCCGCAAAGUGACGAUACUCUAUCGAAAUCCAAACUGAAUCCUCAACAGAGAUCAUCUAGCGCCGACGGUGAUUAUGUUCGCAACAUAUCACCCACUAGACAAGCUUAUUCGCCAGAACCGGCGCAUAGUUUUGCUUCUAGGAAAGAGCUCAGCGUGUCUCAAGGAAACUUAUCUUAUCUACGAACUCCCAGCCCUUUGUUGGGCUCGGAAUCUCGUCAGAUAACCGGAGCGGGUACGAAUCUUCCGGUAUACAUGAAAACUUUAAAGCAACAAUUGCGCGAUGAACUCAAAGCCGUCACAGAAGAACGUAAACGAGCGCAAGAAGUAAGAAAAGAACGUGACUUUUAUCUAAACACGGAGCAAGAAAGUUACAUGCCUCAACCGUGGCAAGAAGACACUUCACUUCAAUACGACACCUUAGCUACACACAGAAAGUUAUUACAUACAACUCCUGCUCCUUCGACAAUAGCCAGAAGACAAACUUCUCCUCAUACGUCACCGAGAAAAGGAAGACGUCGUCACACUUCAGACGUAUCUUUAAGACCGUUUUCGCCUAUUAAAGAAGAUAGAUCGUCGGAAGGAGAUUCGAAACCCAUUAAGACGUCUCCAAUCGAACCAGAAGUUGCGAAAAUGGAAGAAUUAAACUCUUUAGAAAAAUCUAAAGAGACAACCGGGACGGAAAUCGAACAGUACUUUCAACAAUACUCUGAAGAACUGGCUAAGAUAAGAACGGAAAACGGUGCAAACAUCUCGACCACUCCUCCAUUCGUAUCCGAUUCCUGGUUAAAGAAUUCAAAUUCUUGUUAUUUGACUACGGAACGAAAAAAACAACGUAAAGAAAAAAAGUCGAGGAAACCUCGUUCCUGGCAUCCUUCUCCUUACGUAUCUGAAGACGAAGACGAACAAAUGACACGAGAAGAAAAGAAAGCAAAGAUAAAAGCGGAGAUCGCUAGACGCAGGCAACAAAUUGAAGAAAAUACAAGAUUACACGAAGAACUGAUGAAAUUAGCUAAAUCGAGAGAAAAAGCCGAACAGAUAGAAUACAACAGUAGCUACAAAAUGUCACCGACUUUAGAUACCAUGUACAGGACAAGUCAUACGACGACGACGACCAGCAGCAGAACAGCAGAUUCCAUGCUCCCAGGAGAUACUACCAGCGUUCUGCAAGCUAUCGAUGAGAUAUUAAGAAAGGAAACUCAAGGGGUAUCAUCCGUCAGAUCUUCUCAAUACUUCAGUUCUCCAACCUCCUCCGUGUAUUCCACAAUGCCCAGAUCUCGGUACACUCCUCAUGAAAGUUCGUGGUACCAAAGAGAAUCAUCGACUGGAACUGUUCAGUUUCCAGAUAAUACAGCCGAAGACGAAAGUAUAGCUCGAAUAGCAUCAACAUUUCCUACAGACAGUGUUCAGAGUUCGAAUAUCCUGAUAAAUAAGCCAACACCACUUAUCGAAUUAGAAACACCAACAGAUACCGAUCCAACUCCAGCCAUGCCUUUAUUACCAGAUAUGCCCAGUAGAUCCAGGAAACUAUUAGAAGAUUUAGGAAGCUCGCCCAUCGGUAGUCAGGCGGGUAGAAGCGAAACAGUUCAGACACAGUAUGUCAGACAGUGCGGAGACACAGAUAAACAAUCUCACAUUGAUACAGAAUCAAUGACAGACAAUGCAUUAUUAAGACAAAUGAGGAAAAUGCAAAGACAAACUGUGAUCAGAACUCCUCAAAAAUACGAAUUUCCAGUUAAAAGAAUUUUAUUAACUCGAGAUCCGAAAGAUCGAUCCGUUAGCGGAAAUGGCCUCGGAAUGAAAGUGAUCGGAGGGAAAGAAAUACCCGGUGGAAAUGGGCUUAUGGGAGCUUACGUAGCUAAAGUGUGUCCCGGUGGUGUGGUAGAAACACUAGGAGAAGUCAAGGAAGGUAAUCAGGUAUUAGAAUGGAACGGUGUUCCCUUAACCGGAAAAACUUACGAAGAAGUUCAAAAAAUUAUUUCGGUGACGGCCGACGAAGUCGAAAUCGUUAUCAGAAGUGACUUCAAUAUGUUAGAGCCGAUGAGUUCGAAUCAGAGCAUCAGUCCUCGAGACGGAAUUAGUCCAUGCUCCACUCCAUCCGAUUCGUUGAAAGCUGGAACUCCCGGGGGUCGAACUCCUUCACCUUCGUCUCUCUCCGCUAGGAAAAUAGGUUCGCCCGCCAGCACUCCAUCUUCGAUCUCCACCCCUACAUACAACAACGUAACUUCUUCGCAUUUAGCAGCUGUAGAUAAAGACGAACAACAGGGAACACUAUCGAAGAACUACAGUGCAAACUUUACCUCGCUACGUAGGCAACCAUUUCGCAGCUCAUCCCAGCAUGGAACAUCGUGACAGCUGAUGCGUAAAAUAUCCGCAUGAAAAUAACCUACUUCUAUAUGCCGCUUGAUCAGAAGAUAUUGGAUGUGGUGAGAGGCGGUUGAAGAUGGCUGUGAUUUGCUGAUUUGUUAUAUCAUAUAGCGGCUCUACGUUAUGUUAAAGAUCAAUAGUUUACAACUAGUUGGUGAAUUGUUGCAGUUUAUCCAAUCAUUCCCGUUGUUUUAGAAAGAAACGAUCAAGGUGCUACGAUUGUCAAACAUAUCUCCUGUUACCUGACCAUUCCGAGGGUGAUUUGUUGAUACCUCGCGGGUCAAAAGAUUACGUUCUGUUUACGGUGUGUCGUCCAAGACUUAUUAAUAAUUCAAAUGUUUUGCACUACGUGACAUUCUCACUUUGAUGUUGUCUCUUCCUCACAUUAUAGCGGUUAAGUGAAGUACUUUGUUUAGUAAUUAUUCCCGAAUUCCGGGGGAUUUUACUUUUUUGCGUUACAUGUUCAUAUUGCUGAAUGCCAUUGUUGGCUAAGUUUUGACGGACCCACGAAAUUACAUAUAACCUGUUGUUUCUCUAAAAACGAUUCAUUCUGUCGGUUUUGACACAAAUAAAUUUAUUAAUUCAAA